UCUAUAUAUAGUAAAGAACAACGUGGAAAAGUGAAACCAAAACAUGAGGUUGAAACAGGUAAAUAAUCAUUAAAAUAAAAAAAUGUUUGUCAAAAUCGCCAUUUUUACUAAUUCCCUUUUCUACCUAUCUUUAAAUUGAUUUAAAAUCCCUUCCAAACUGAGUUGCCGGUUUGUUUACAUUCAACUGAUCAAGACUAGUGACCUACAAAAGUAUAUCAGGCCAAGCAGACGUAAAAAUCGUAUCGAACAAAUAUGGAAAUUUUAAUGAAUUUUUUGCACAGAUUAUGAAAAAUUCGAGAAAAAUGAUGAAUUAUCGCUAUAAAAUAGCUUCUACUGCCGAAUGUGAUUUUUCCCACAGCGUCAUGGUUACAAAAAAAGGUAAGGUUUUUUUAAUAUCUUACCAAUAUUGACGAUGGAGGGCUCAAAAUCUAGCUGAGAAUUUGCGCUUUACAUAAACAGAAAUAAAUAUAUACACAUACACAAUGUUAAAACCCAAAAAUACAGCAAUAAACAAAAGACAUCAUAUUACAUUUCAGGCUAAACCUACCUUCCUCAGGCAUGAUAAAAAGUACAGGCUUGUACAGUCCCACGGCUAUGACAAAUGCAUACAUAUCAGUAAAGAAUAAUGAAAUGUCACAGAGAAAAGCAGCUCUGCAAUUUAAUGUCCCAAGGCAAACUCUACGUGAUAGAAUCACCGGCA
RNAcentral lists this long non-coding RNA (700 nucleotides) under Mytilus galloprovincialis (Mediterranean mussel). The record is from RNAcentral. Lineage: Eukaryota; Metazoa; Mollusca; Bivalvia; Mytilida; Mytilidae.